AAUAUUCAAGAGCGUGGAACAACCACAUACUCGUUAUUCAAGGUUUACUAUCAACUGAUUUAAUCGGUUCUUCACAGACAGGGUUAAGUGGUAAUCUCCGAUGACCAUUGCAGGCGGGCUGUUCCAAUGCUUCGGGAGAACUAUGCAAGUCCCAUUUACAUUCUUUGAUAGGGUAUGAUGGUACCACUUUGGCGGCACUGAGAGCUGCUAGGAAUUCUUCAUGAUCUAAUGGCUUCAAUCUCUUUGGUUCGUCUUCAUGUUUCUCAUGGGAUCCAAAAUGUUGCAAACUUCUUUUUAGCACCUCAUCCUUCACUUUCUGUACCAUCCGCGAGUCGAACUUGGGAAGCCCAAUUUGCCCUACAGUCAGUGAUCCGAAAAAGUUUCCCAGCAAUGCAGCAUCUGGUACUGCCAAUCCAUCAACAAGCCCUGCAACUAAACCUCCAAGAAAGCUAUCCCCAGCCCCUGUUGGAUCAACUUGAUAAGCUGGAAAAGGCGCAAUGGACAGUUCUUCAUCUUUAGAAUACACUGUACAGCCAUCUUUCCCUUUUGUCACUACUACACAACACCAUUUCCUUGCUUCCUCCACAUCCACAAAUGGUGCCUCAUCUUCGGAUGCUUUCAAAUACCCAAUUCUAUUCAACAAAGGCCAAAACCCAGUUUGAUUCAAAUGUACAAGAUUCACUGUUCCAUCAACCGGGUCAAAUACCCGAAUCAAAGCUUGGAUAUCAACAAACACCACCUUACACAUCUCAAUCAUCCGUUCAAGGGUUUCAGGCAAAAUCUCUCCACCAACACCUACAGCUAACCCAAAAUCAAAUUUUGAGUUCGGGAGAUCCGAGGGAGUCACCGGGUCACAUGCAGUGACCCGUUUUAAGAUCCGAUCUUGCCGUGUGCUUUCAGUAGAGAAAUAGGCGUGGAAAACGGUGGUUUUGG
This 933-nucleotide unclassified non-coding RNA is filed under the name Hevea brasiliensis (rubber tree). The record is from RNAcentral. Lineage: Eukaryota; Viridiplantae; Streptophyta; Magnoliopsida; Malpighiales; Euphorbiaceae.